UCCACGUGGAGAAACCUUCCCAGGCCAGGGAAGGUGGGGCCCCAGGGCUGCCGUCAGAGGUGUUGCAUGCAGCAGAGUGCCUCACACAGUGCAACCCUCUCACCAGAUCAUCUAUGGAUGCUGCCAUACAGCAGCAAUGGUGGAAGAAUAGCAAUGAGCCAAAUAAAUCAUAUCAAAUACAUAAGGAUCCUUACCAUUCUUUAAAAACUUGAUGGAUGUGUUAAGACGAGCAACAUUGAUAUUCAGUUGUCCAACAACUCUGCGGUAUCUUCCACAGUCACAGACUGUGCCUGAUGCAAUAAAAAAAAAUAGAGGAUUUAUCUGUUUAGAAG
Molecule: long non-coding RNA, 332 nt
Organism: Pezoporus occidentalis (night parrot)
Lineage: Eukaryota; Metazoa; Chordata; Aves; Psittaciformes; Psittacidae
Exons: 2
Source: RefSeq, a predicted model, not a curated record